RNAcentral lists this small nucleolar RNA (122 nucleotides) under Urocitellus parryii (Arctic ground squirrel). RNAcentral describes it as "Small nucleolar RNA SNORA32 (ENSUPAG00010001447.1)". It matches the Rfam family "Small nucleolar RNA SNORA32". From Rfam's summary of the family: ACA32 is a member of the H/ACA class of snoRNA that guide the sites of modification of uridines to pseudouridines. Lineage: Eukaryota; Metazoa; Chordata; Mammalia; Rodentia; Sciuridae. The record is from Rfam by way of RNAcentral.
UGGUCAUUACCAAGGCUUUUAGAAUACAGUUUCUUAUUUGCUGUGGACAUGACCAUAAAAUAAUUCCCUCUAGGGGUUUUGUAUCUGCUACUUUGCUAGCAUUCAACCUAUUGGGAACAUUC